RNAcentral lists this ribosomal RNA (253 nucleotides) under uncultured bacterium. Its description in RNAcentral is "partial 16S ribosomal RNA". It matches the Rfam family "Bacterial small subunit ribosomal RNA", at positions 524 to 776 of the family's 1533-position model. The record is from RNAcentral.
UACGGAGGGAGCUAGCGUUGUUCGGAAUUACUGGGCGUAAAGCGCACGUAGGCGGCUUUGUAAGUUAGAGGUGAAAGCCCGGGGCUCAACCCCGGAAUUGCCUUUAAGACUGCAUCGCUUGAAUCCAGGAGAGGUGAGUGGAAUUCCGAGUGUAGAGGUGAAAUUCGUAGAUAUUCGGAAGAACACCAGGGGCGAAGGCGGCUCACUGGACUGGUAUUGACGCUGAGGUGCGAAAGCGUGGGGAGCAAACAGG